This 148-nucleotide small nuclear RNA is filed under the name Suricata suricatta (meerkat). Its description in RNAcentral is "U2 spliceosomal RNA (ENSSSUG00005016079.1)". It matches the Rfam family "U2 spliceosomal RNA". Rfam says of the family: U2 is a small nuclear RNA (snRNA) component of the spliceosome (involved in pre-mRNA splicing). Complementary binding between U2 snRNA (in an area lying towards the 5' end but 3' to hairpin I) and the branchpoint sequence (BPS) of the intron results the bulging out of an unpaired adenosine, on the BPS, which initiates a nucleophilic attack at the intronic 5' splice site, thus starting the first of two transesterification reactions that mediate splicing. The record is from Rfam by way of RNAcentral. Lineage: Eukaryota; Metazoa; Chordata; Mammalia; Carnivora; Herpestidae.
AUUGCUUCUCGGCCUUUUGGCUAAGAUCAAGUGUAAAAUACUAUACAUAUAAGUCUAAUUACAUGAAACAGAAGUUGGUGUUUUGAUUUUUUACUUUGCUUUUCUGUUUGGAGUGUCAUUGUAACUACUGUAUUGUAAAUGAUGGAAA